Molecule: ribosomal RNA, 256 nt
Filed under: uncultured bacterium
Lineage: Bacteria
Description: partial 16S ribosomal RNA
Rfam family: Bacterial small subunit ribosomal RNA
Source: RNAcentral
UAAUACAGAGGGGGCAAGCGUUAUUCGGAAUUAUUGGGCGUAAAGGGCGCGUAGGCGGCCAAGCAAGUCAGGGGUGAAAUCCCUCGGCUCAACCGAGGAAUUGCCUCUGAAACUGCAUGGCUUGAGACCGGGAGAGGGUGGUGGAAUUCCCAGUGUAGCGGUGAAAUGCGUAGAUAUUGGGAGGAACACCGGUGGCGAAGGCGGCCACCUGGACCGGUUCUGACGCUGAGGCGCGAAAGUGUGGGGAGCAAACAGG